UCAGGCUGAAUGUGGCUCUGCAUCUGGGUCAAGCCAAGGAAAGAACUUUGCUGAGUUUAACGGGUCUCCCAGAGACCCCUCACCCCUGCAUUGUCAUUUCCCUUAAAACAAUGCUCUCUGUAUGUCCGCCCCCAGGCCCAGCUCUUCCCCACCAACAUGAACAUCAGUACCACGGCCUUCAAACCCCCAUAACCCAGCACUCGCCUGAAUGCUUGCUUGGGAGCAUCCCAGAUACUAAGGUUCAAAGUCAAACAGCACGAGCAGGUUGGCAAAUCCCAGGCAGCCAGGCCUCAUAAAGUGAGGUGGAAGUGGGGUCAGGGCCAGAGUGAAGGCACAGUCAUCCCCAAAUCGCGCCAAACCCAGAAGGAAGUGGCCAGCCCAGGGGCUGAGUAAAGCCUGAAGUUCGAGGAAGGCCACGUGCAUCCUAUUGUGACUACGGCCUAAUUAGGACACCCCAGUCUUGGGCCACCUCAUGGCCUCGGACAGGGAUUGGAGAUGUAUAAAAGGUGGACAGGCUCUGAGCAUCCUAAAGCCUUCCACAUCUCCAAGCACCAGAUCCUGGUCAACUAGGCGCACACCCAGCCCGGAAUGUCUCAGCAGAAGCAGAAGCAGUGCUGCCCCCCACCUCAGCAGUGCUGCCCGCCACCCCAGCAGUGCUGCCCGCCACCCAAGCAGUGCUGCCCGCCACCCAAGCAGUGCUGCCCCCCACCCAAGCAGUGCUGCCCGCCACCCAAGCAGUGCUGCCCCCCACCCAAGCAGUGCUACCCACCACCUAAGGACUGCUAAACCCCCUCUCUAGACCAAGCAGCCUUGCCAGCCUCCACCCAACUGCAAGGAGCCCUUUGCCCUCUAAGUGCCAACAGAAGUGCCCACCCCCUCAGCAGUGCCACAAGUCCAAGCAGAAGUAAGCCCUGGGCAUGUGUCGCGAUGCCGAGCCCCCGGGAGAACAGAGACCAUGAAGCCCACUCCCCUCUCUCCGCCAGCCAGCCGCCAGCCCCCCUCAUCCCUGGCCUUCUGGAUGCAGCCACGCUUCCGGGAAAGGCAGCCCCAGGACGGCAGCUUCCUGGAUCAUGAAGUCUUAUUAAAGCAGCUGCAAUUUCCAUCUCAGAUGCGGAUCUGGUUCUAAACCGUCAAAUCAUCUUGGCUGACAUGUACGCACUCCACCCUGUCGGCUUCUUGGACACUUAGGCAGCAUGCCUGGACGCUGUUUUCCUAUCAGCCGUCAUUUCUGCUCUUGUCUUCUAAACAAUUAAACACAAUUCCUCUAGCA
Molecule: long non-coding RNA, 1270 nt
Organism: Hippopotamus amphibius kiboko
Lineage: Eukaryota; Metazoa; Chordata; Mammalia; Artiodactyla; Hippopotamidae
Exons: 2
Source: RefSeq, a predicted model, not a curated record